This 100-nucleotide signal recognition particle RNA is filed under the name Oscillospiraceae bacterium. Its description in RNAcentral is "signal recognition particle sRNA small type". It matches the Rfam family "Bacterial small signal recognition particle RNA". From Rfam's summary of the family: The signal recognition particle (SRP) is a universally conserved ribonucleoprotein involved in the co-translational targeting of proteins to membranes. Archaeal SRP consists of a 7S RNA and homologues of the eukaryotic SRP19 and SRP54 proteins. The record is from RNAcentral. Lineage: Bacteria; Bacillati; Bacillota; Clostridia; Eubacteriales; Oscillospiraceae.
GCAUGGGCCCUGUGCGACGGGGCGCUGUGAACCAUGUCAGGCGGGGAACCGAGCAGCAUUAAGCGGACUGUCCUGUGCGCCGCAGAUCAGCCUGCGCGUC